This 523-nucleotide long non-coding RNA is filed under the name Panax ginseng (ginseng). RNAcentral describes it as "long non-coding RNA (PGIN_LNC006680)". Lineage: Eukaryota; Viridiplantae; Streptophyta; Magnoliopsida; Apiales; Araliaceae. The record is from RNAcentral.
UUUCCAACUCUCUAUUACCUCGUUUCACAACCCAUUAUUAAAGACAGUCCUCUCUCCUCUUUGUGUCAUUGUUGAUCUACCAUCUCAGUGUCGAUUUGUAGAAAUGGGAUUGUGAUCUACCCUCAAUUUCUUAAUUCCACAAAAAAAAUUACAAAAGAGGGCAAAGCCCUAGCUAAUUCUUCACUCGCAAUUGGUAGUUAAGAUUCUGAAUGAAAAUUUUGUAAUCUUCCUUCUUUCUUUCUUUUUUUCUUUAUUUCUUUUUUUCUUUAUCUUUCUCUCUUGUUCUGAAUGCAAAUUUUGUAUUAGAAAUUUGGGCUAGGCUUUGGUGUCAUAGAAGGUGGAGGAAUAAAAAUAAGGUUGCAGCAGCAGCGGCGACAACAAUGGGGAAGGCAAUGAAGUUCCCAGGAAUUAGUGAGGGCGUUCAAAAGCUGUUAGAUGUUGACAUGGACCAAGUGGUUGCAAGGCGCUGUGCUUGCGAGGUGUUUAAGGAUAUUCAACUCUCUAUUGAUCAUUGUUUUUUCAG